Molecule: ribosomal RNA, 898 nt
Filed under: uncultured bacterium
Lineage: Bacteria
Description: bacterial SSU rRNA
Rfam family: Bacterial small subunit ribosomal RNA
Source: RNAcentral
AGAGUUUGAUCCUGGCUCAGGACGAACGCUGGCGGCGUGCUUAACACAUGCAAGUCGAGCGGUAAGGCUCCUUCGGGAGUACACGAGCGGCGAACGGGUGAGUAACACGUGAGCAAUCUGCCCUUCACAUCGGGAUAACUCCGGGAAACCGGUGCUAAUACCGAAUACGACCACUUCAGGCAUCUGAUGGUGGUGGAAAGUUCCGGCGGUGAAGGAUGAGCUCGCGGCCUAUCAGCUUGUUGGUGGGGUAACGGCCCACCAAGGCAACGACGGGUAGCCGGCCUGAGAGGGUGACCGGCCACACUGGGACUGAGACACGGCCCAGACUCCUACGGGAGGCAGCAGUGGGGAAUAUUGGACAAUGGGCGAAAGCCUGAUCCAGCAACGCCGCGUGAGGGAUGACGGCCUUCGGGUUGUAAACCUCUUUCAGCAGGGACGAAGCGCAAGUGACGGUACCUGCAGAAGAAGCACCGGCCAACUACGUGCCAGCAGCCGCGGUAAUACGUAGGGUGCGAGCGUUGUCCGGAAUUAUUGGGCGUAAAGGGCUCGUAGGCGGUCUGUCACGUCGGGAGUGAAAACACGGGGCUUAACCCCGUGCCUGCUUCCGAUACGGGCUGACUAGAGGUAUGCAGGGGAGAACGGAAUUCCUGGUGUAGCGGUGAAAUGCGCAGAUAUCAGGAGGAACACCGGUGGCGAAGGCGGUUCUCUGGGCAUUACCUGACGCUGAGGAGCGAAAGUGUGGGGAGCGAACAGGAUUAGAUACCCUGGUAGUCCACACCGUAAACGUUGGGCGCUAGGUGUGGGACUCAUUCCACGAGUUCCGUGCCGCAGCUAACGCAUUAAGCGCCCCGCCUGGGGGAGUACGGGCCGCAAGGCUAAAACUCAAAUGAAUUGACGG